Molecule: transfer RNA, 67 nt
Filed under: Danionella cerebrum
Lineage: Eukaryota; Metazoa; Chordata; Actinopteri; Cypriniformes; Danionidae
Description: tRNA-Glu
Source: RNAcentral
GGAUAGUGUAGUGGUAACACUGCCGUCCUUCUCAUGGUAGACCGGGGUUCGAAUCCCGGAGGAUCCG